This is a long non-coding RNA of Macadamia integrifolia, 490 nucleotides long. RefSeq lists it as uncharacterized. The record is from RefSeq and is a predicted model, not a curated record. Lineage: Eukaryota; Viridiplantae; Streptophyta; Magnoliopsida; Proteales; Proteaceae. The transcript has 3 exons.
CUGUACGAGAAAUCUUCACCUCAGAGACAGAGAUCGAUUAGCUUAACAAAGUUCUGGUUUCGAAUAGUUUGGAACUCGCACAGAGAGAGGAGAGAAGAAGAAACAGGAGCUCGCCCCCUUGUGAAAUCUCCUCUGCAGAGCAGGUAUUGGGACAAAUUUUAGGGUUUUUCUAGACCCCCUAUACAGAGAGGUAACGUCUUCUUCUUCUCUUCUAUUUCGUCUUCUUCUCUUCUAUUUCUUCUUCUUCUCCUUUGCUUCCUAAAUCCAUACACCUCUUGUGGUACCUAGUUUCAUCUAUCACAGUGUUGUUGUAAGUUUGUUAAAUUUCAAUUCUUCCAAUUUUCAUUUCAGCUUGUACAGAAUCUUCACCAAUUGAAAUGUGCAUUCUUGUUUUUAUGUUUACUCUGGAAGUUGUGUAUUGAAGACUUGAUUAAUUAAUCUGUAAAUAAACCUUGACUGCCACUUCCGAAGGUAACGAAAGUUCUAAGCA